AGAGUUUGAUCAUGGCUCAGAAUCAACGCUGGCGGCGUGCCUAACACAUGCAAGUCGCACGAGAAAGUGGAGCAAUCCAUGAGUAAAGUGGCGCACGGGUGAGUAACACGUGACUAACCUACCCUCGAGUGGGGAAUAACUCGUCGAAAGACGGGCUAAUACCGCAUAACACUUACGGGUCAAAGCAGCAAUGCGCUUGA
RNAcentral lists this ribosomal RNA (200 nucleotides) under uncultured bacterium. Its description in RNAcentral is "partial 16S ribosomal RNA". It matches the Rfam family "Bacterial small subunit ribosomal RNA", at positions 8 to 222 of the family's 1533-position model. The record is from RNAcentral.